RNAcentral lists this ribosomal RNA (522 nucleotides) under Colletotrichum sp. PQA18. Its description in RNAcentral is "eukaryotic LSU rRNA". It matches the Rfam family "Eukaryotic large subunit ribosomal RNA", at positions 51 to 584 of the family's 3401-position model. The record is from RNAcentral. Lineage: Eukaryota; Fungi; Ascomycota; Sordariomycetes; Glomerellales; Glomerellaceae.
CGGAGGAAAAGAAACCAACAGGGAUUGCCCCAGUAACGGCGAGUGAAGCGGCAACAGCUCAAAUUUGAAAUCUGGCCCCAGGCCCGAGUUGUAAUUUGCAGAGGAUGCUUUUGGCGCGGUGCCUUCCGAGUUCCCUGGAACGGGACGCCAUAGAGGGUGAGAGCCCCGUACGGUUGGACACCAAGCCUUUGUAAAGCUCCUUCGACGAGUCGAGUAGUUUGGGAAUGCUGCUCUAAAUGGGAGGUACAUUUCUUCUAAAGCUAAAUAUUGGCCAGAGACCGAUAGCGCACAAGUAGAGUGAUCGAAAGAUGAAAAGCACUUUGAAAAGAGGGUUAAACAGCACGUGAAAUUGUUAAAAGGGAAGCGCUUGUGACCAGACUUGCGUCCGGUGAAUCACCCAGCUCUCGCGGCUGGGGCACUUCGCCGGCACAGGCCAGCAUCAGCUUGCCGUCGGGGACAAAAGCUUCAGGAACGUAGCUCCUCUCGGGGAGUGUUAUAGCCUGUUGUAUAAUACCCUUCGGC